RNAcentral lists this ribosomal RNA (406 nucleotides) under uncultured bacterium. Its description in RNAcentral is "partial 16S ribosomal RNA". It matches the Rfam family "Bacterial small subunit ribosomal RNA", at positions 30 to 526 of the family's 1533-position model. The record is from RNAcentral.
AUUGAACGCUGGCGGCAUGCUUUACACAUGCAAGUCGGACGAGUGGCGAACGGGUGAGUAAUAUAUGGGAACGUACCUAGUAAUGGGGGAUAACUAAUCGAAACAGUAGCUAAUACCGCAUACUAUCCGAUCUGCCGAUAUCUGAUUAGCUAGUUGGUGGGGUAACGGCUCACCAAGGCGACGAUCCGUAGCUGGUUUGAGAGGACGACCAGCCACACUGGGACUGAGACACGGUCCAGACUCCUACGGGAGGCAGCAGUGGGGAAUUGUGCACAAUGGGGGAAACCCUGAUCCAGCCAUGCCGCGUGUAUGAUGAAGGCCUUCGGGUUGUAAAGCACUUUUGGCAGGGAGGCGUUACCUGCAGAAGAAGCACCGGCUAACUACGUGCCAGCAGCCGCGGUAAUUC